AGCCCACAUACCCCAUCAGAUAUAACACCGUAGCUAACCGUAAGAACCCUAGGAAAGAUAGCAGCCUUCACAUCUUCUUCUUCAGCAAAAGAGACAGCAGACUUAAUCCUCAAGAAAAGAAGAAGCAGCCGAACUCCCCCUCGCUGUCCAACCACCGAAUUUGGCCACCAGCAGAUCUGGUUGGCCACCACGAUAGUCGAUAGCUUCAGAUCCGCUCUUCUCUUCUCUCACAUCAUCAUACUCUUGAUGAUAGUAUACAGGGAAGACAAAAAUUCGCUGGAAAUACCAUGAAAUCCGGCGGAACUCCAUGAAGAUCAGUGACCCUCUCUUUAAUGUUUUCCAGUGACUCUUUCCUUCCCAUUUGUGACUAAAACAAUGACAAGAAAUAGAGAUCAGUGAGGUGUCCGGUUCAAGGUUUUUGUUUGCGGAUCUGAUUCGUCACGGAGGCUCGACGUCGUUGCUAUAUUAUCUAGCUUAUUGGAGGUUUUUGUUUAUCAAUAUAUUUGUUUAAAGGUUUGAUCGACAAAGUGACAAAAUGUCAAAGAUCGACUCAAAAAGGAGUGAAACCUGCUGAAGUACCAAAGACCAAGAGAAUUGAAGAAUAAAGGGCCUAGUGCGGACCGCACAACAGUGACCGCGGCCGCACUAGGAGGUUCAAAGACUUGACAUAUUCAAGCUAAAAGGCAUGCGACCGCGGUAGGAUCUUCGCGGUCCACGGUGGAGCUUCGCGGCCGCAGUCCUGCACUGUGCGGUCCGCGUUCAUAAGGUUCAGGGAAGGGCAUUUUUGAUCACACGGUCCGCGGUCACGACUGUGCGGACCGCGCCAGUUGCCAUCGUGGCCGCGGUACACUGCCACGCGGUCCGCGUCCCCCAACUCAAGUCAUCAAACAGUUGAAGUUCAAGAGCCAAUGCGGCCGCGGUCUAUUUUGUGCAGCCCGCACUGACCCCGUAGGGGUAUUUUUUUCCAGUUUUUCUAACCUAGUAUAAAUAGAACAUUUUACUAAUUUUUUAGGCAUCGAUUUAUCUAGGAACUAGAGACAAAAGCUGCAGUUGGUGUUGUAGCCAUUUUUGGCAUAUUUUGCUUUCCAUUAAAUAUAGAUUACUGUAGUUUCUUCUUAGUAA
Non-coding RNA from Nicotiana tabacum (common tobacco), 1122 nucleotides. The record is from RefSeq and is a predicted model, not a curated record. NCBI's taxonomy places the organism in Eukaryota, Viridiplantae, Streptophyta, Magnoliopsida, Solanales, Solanaceae.